Molecule: ribosomal RNA, 386 nt
Filed under: Microdon major
Lineage: Eukaryota; Metazoa; Arthropoda; Insecta; Diptera; Syrphidae
Description: SSU rRNA
Rfam family: Eukaryotic small subunit ribosomal RNA
Source: RNAcentral
CAUGCAUGUCUAGUACAAACUAAAUUAAAAGUGAAACCGCAAAAGGCUCAUUAUAUCAGUUAUGGUUUAUUAGAUCAUUAACAGUUACUUGGAUAACUGUGGUAAUUCUAGAGCUAAUACAUGCAAUAUAAACAUGAACCUUUUAGGAACAUGUGCUCUUAUUAGUUUAAAACCAAGCGAUUUUUUUCAAAAUCGUUAUAAUGGUUGAACUCUAGAUAAUUUGCCAAUCGUAUGGUCUUGUACCGACGAUAGAUCUUUUAAAUGUCUGCCCUAUCAACUAUUGAUGGUAGUAUUUAGGACUACCAUGGUUGCAACGGGUAACGGGGAAUCAGGGUUCGAUUCCGGAGAGGGAGCCUGAGAAACAGCUACCACAUCUAAGGAAGGCA